Molecule: ribosomal RNA, 477 nt
Filed under: Candidatus Scalindua brodae
Lineage: Bacteria; Pseudomonadati; Planctomycetota; Candidatus Brocadiia; Candidatus Brocadiales; Candidatus Scalinduaceae
Also listed under: 1 other name
Description: bacterial SSU rRNA
Rfam family: Bacterial small subunit ribosomal RNA
Source: RNAcentral
UUCGCAAUGCCCGAAAGGGUGACGAAGCGACGCCGCGUGAGUGAGGAAGGCCUUCGGGUUGUAAAGCCCUGUCAGGAGUUAAGAAAUGUAAGUGCGCUAAUAUCGCAUUUAUUUGACGAAGGCUCCAAAGGAAGUCACGGCUAACUCUGUGCCAGCAGCCGCGGUAAUACAGAGGUGGCAAGCGUAGUUCGGAAUUAUUGGGCGUAAAGAGCACGUAGGUGGGUUUGCAAGUCAGAUGUGAAAGCCUCCUGUUCAACGGGAGAAUUGCAUCUGAAACUGCAGAUCUUGAGUGUAGGAGGGGAGAAUGGAACUUCUGGUGGAGCGGUGAAAUGCGUAGAUAUCAGAAGGAACGCCGGCGGCGAAAGCGAUUCUCUGGCCUAUUACUGACGCUCAGUGUGCGAAAGCUAGGGGAGCAAACGGGAUUAGAUACCCCGGUAGUCCUAGCCGUAAACGACGGGCACUAAGUAGAGGGGUUUU